Molecule: ribosomal RNA, 450 nt
Filed under: uncultured delta proteobacterium
Lineage: Bacteria; Deltaproteobacteria
Description: bacterial SSU rRNA
Rfam family: Bacterial small subunit ribosomal RNA
Source: RNAcentral
GCACAAGCGCUCGAGCAUGUGGUGUAAUUCGACGCAACGCGAUGAACCGUACCUAGCCUUGACAUCGAUGUGACUACUGCGUAAUCGUANUAGUGCCGUCGGGAGCACAGUGACAAGUGCUGCAUCACUGUCGUCAGCUCGUGUCGUGAGAUGUUCGUUAAGUCCAGCAACGAGCGCAACCAUUAUCGCUACUUGCCAGCGCGUAAUCGCGCGAACUCUAGAGAGACAUGCCCGUGUUAACCGCGAGGAAGGCGCGGAUGACGUCAAGUCAUCAUGGCCCUUAUACCCAGCCCUACACACGUGCUACACUCAUAAAUACAGAGUGCAGCGAGCCAGUGACGGCGAGCGAAUCCCUAAAGUCCAUCUCAGUCCGGACUAGAGUCAUGCAACUCGACUCCAUGAAGUUGGAAUCGCUAGUAAUCGCAGAUCAGCAUGCUGCCAUGAACUAUC